RNAcentral lists this long non-coding RNA (30832 nucleotides) under Ananas comosus (pineapple). Its description in RNAcentral is "long non-coding RNA (ACOM_LNC009283)". Lineage: Eukaryota; Viridiplantae; Streptophyta; Magnoliopsida; Poales; Bromeliaceae. The record is from RNAcentral.
GAAAAGAAAAAAGCGUUGUUCCUUUCCUCCACUGCGCAGUCAAUCAAAAGAAAAUGAAAGAAAGAAAAAAAACAUAAAAAAAAAAGAAACAAAAAAAUAGAAAAUAAAAAAAAAGAAAAAAAUUGUUCCAUUCUCCCAGUACAAAAAAAAAAAAGGACAAAAAAAGAACAAGGAGAACAAAAUUGGAGAAGUUCGAUGUUGAAGUUAUUUUUGAAAAUGGUUCAAUUUUAUCAUGGGCCAACAAGCAAUAUUCCAUAAGGCAGUGUUAAAAAAUAAGCACCAACCAUAUGACAGAAGCACCACAUCAGAUCCGCAGUCCAAGGACACAGAAAUGUAAAGUCAAAAAACCAAUCCCAGGCACAUGGCAGAUUUUCGGGUCCAAGACCAGAGCAGCACGAAGUAAGUUCAAGACCUAUUUCGAGUUCCACAUGGCAGAUUCGGGGUUUAAGGCCCAGAUAUGUAAAGUAUCCAAAAACCCAAUCCAAGUGCCACGAACGCACAUUCGGGACCAGCCUAGCAACAUAUUAAAGCCCGAAACCCAUCUCAAGCCACAUUGCAAAUUUGGAUACAAAAAACCAACAUAACAAAUUCAUAAUAAAUAAACUUUCACACCAGAACCCAAUCCACAAACAAAAUUUCAAAAUCCAAGUCACAAAUAAGAUCCAAACCCAAAGUCCACAAAUAAAGAUCCAAACAAAACCCAAACAAAAAUCCAAAAAUCAAAGUCCACACAUAAAACCCAAUCCGGAAGUCUACAAAUAAACUCAAAAAUCCAAAUUCAAUGACCAGAAAAGUGUUAACACUAAACCCAAAAUUUCACACACGAAAAGAUCGCUUAACACUAAAACCCAACCCCAACACGACCGUAAAGCCGCUAAACUAAACCAAAUCCAACGACCGAAAGUCGCAUAAACCAACACCCAAAAUCAAACGACAAACAGUUCGUAAACUCUAACCCAAAUUCAAAACGACAAAAGUCCGUUAAACUAAACCAAAUCCAAAGACUGAUAAAGUCGUUAAACCAAACUUAAAACGAACCGUCUGUCAUAUAAACUGAACGCAAAUUAAAAUUUCAAGCGAACCGCCAUGUCAUUAACUGAGGCAAUUUGAUCCUAAUCGACCAUCAAGUCUAAUAAAUGGUUUAGUUUUAUAAAAUUUAUGUCAGUGGGGAUGCCCUGCUUAGGUCAAUGUACACCGACAAAUAUAAUUAUCAAAUGUUUACCUUUUGUGUAUUUGUCUCUUUUACUACAUACAGCAUGUAAUUUGAUUCUUAUAUCAAGGGCUUCCUUUACACACCGAAGUGAAUGGACAUUAACAUUUGUACGAUUCUUGAGUCAUGAUUCGGGAAGCCCAUGCAACUAUAUCCUGAUUCAACAAAAGAAAGUCUUAAGCAAACUCUAAUACUCUACCCCACAUGAUCUGACCACUCUAAAUAAGAAAUAACCAGACCGGGAGGUUUCGUUCACCGGCAGCAGCACUCACGUCCUCCGUAUAUCCUCCUCCUCNNNNNNNNNNNNNNNNNNNNNNNNNUUGCAAAGCUCAAUUCUCUUUUUCUCUUUUUUUGUUUCGUUUUUUUUUCUUUUUUUUAACCUCCGACAAUAUAUAUGGCCAUAGAGUUUAAUUCUCUUCCCUCUUUUUGUUUUAGACGUCUAUGGAGAGCGUUCAAGAAUGCUAUGCUUAUGUCGGAGUUCUUCCUUCUCUCACUCGUCCGCUUUUUGACUGCGGCCCAGAAAUUUUUUACGAAGGGGUUCCAUUGAACCAGUGGGUAGUUAUGCAUUCCUCUGUGAUGGCUAAUUUCACCCAAUGAUACUUUAUCGAUGCCGGAUCGAAUAAUGCCGUUUUACUACAACCCACGGGGAAUACAAGUGGUGUCACGCCCCGAGUCCGCCUAUUUGGUCGGUUUCGAGCACGCCAACAAACCGCCGAACGGACAGGGUUUUUCCUGUACCGCGGACAGAGUCUCUCCUGUACAUUCAAGGCGUCGCAAUUAAUACAAUAUACGAAGUUCCAACUAGGAACACAUUUCAACCAAAGAUUGCAUAAGAAAAUAUCAAAAAUAUAAAUCUACUUACUAUUACAAGCAAUCAUCACACAUUGUACAUUUUUACAUUCUUAGGUUACAUCAUAUUUGAUUCCUUUAUUCUACUUCCAAAUAUAAUCUAGUUUUAACAUAGUUAUUACAACAUUGUUCUUACAAUUAUCACACUCUUGGUUCUUUGCAUUUUAUACCCCUAAGAAGCCGACUCAGGGUGUUGCUAUCUGGUCUCAAUGAUAUGGCGCUAUCUAUGGAGCUAGGCCCUUGCCUCGCGCCGUCGCGCCGCUCACGUGUGAACCUGUAACACCCCAAAACAACGUGGGAUGACAACCAACUCCAUGAUUCCCAGUGGGUACGGCCACCCAAGGGAAGAGCUCGACCAUCAGGCCCAAAGGAGGCAAACAACAUGUUAGUCCAAUAGAUAGAUAUAAAAUCAUGCAACUAACAUUACCAUGCCUUUGCCUCACAACAUGCAAUAUGUCAAUAUGCAACUCAUAUAGUAGAUUAAUUGCUUCUACUCUUUAUUCUUAUCCAUUCUUUACUUUUAGUCAUUCUUUACUUUACUAGCUAUUCUUUAACAUUUGCCUUUCUUUAUUCUUUAUUACUUGCCAUUUUUUAGCACUAGCCUUUCCUUAUUCUUUAUUCUUAAUUCUUUACGCUUUACUAAGGGUACUUACACCUUAGUAAUAUUAUACACAUUAGCCUUUCUUUCCUAAGGUUACUUUACCUUAGCCAACUAUGCUAUCCGACUCGGUCUUGAGUCAAUCAACUGCGGAUAAUCUGCGCUCUGCCCAGCUCGAGGUGAAGGAACUCUCACAUGCACCUCAGCCUUCAAUCACAAACCACAUCACCCAACGGAUCGCCCAGAGCUGCGUAUAUCCAUGGUCAGGGAUCCCCCGUUGGGAGAGGAACAUGCCGCAUACACCCGCAGUCGAGAUCCCCGAUAGGGAGAGGAACAUGCCACAUGCACCCUGGCGCUCAUUAUUCUUGCUCAUUGACAAGCCUCGAAGUUCUUCUGGUGGGAGAGAAACGUGCCAUAUGCACCCGCGGCCAAGAACUAUCGAGCUUAUAUGCUGCACUAGCAGCUGCUGCACAAGCAGCAGGGAUUCCGGAAUCCACUUUACAUCUCUCAAGGGUUGGUCUCACCCUAUUGUAUCGACCUAUCUAGGUCCAAGCCUUUACUCAACCUAAGUUGAUACAUUAGGUUCAACGUCAUUAUCUUCUUAGCCUAGGUUCAUUAACACUAGGUCCAACAUUCUUUACCACCUAGGUUCAUUUGACUAUAGAUUCCAUGUCAUUAUGUUCACAAUCUAGGUUUACUUGACUCUAGGUUCAAUGCCACUCAUGUUCUCGUUUUCCUAGUUGUCCACACCUAAGAAUUAUACUUGACAUGCCACUCGUGAAUAACCUGUUGGCUUAAAUGGGCCAGCAUCCCUCCCUGUGGCGGGAGGCCAUGUGGGCCGAGUCAUGUUCGAAAUGGCGUGAGGCUAGGUUGGGCCGAGUCAUGUUCGAAAUGGCGUGAGGCCAGGUGGGCCGAGUCACAAUCGAGACCCGUGAGCGCUGUUUCUGUACGCUUUAAGUGAAUUGGUUGCGUAUUUCUAACAGCUCGAGCUUUUGGGAUUAAUGGUUAGCAGCCGAACGUCCGCAUCAAGUGGUAUCAGAGUCUACGACGUCACGGGUUCGAUUCCAUGCCAUGCUGCAAAUGUUGCCGGCUGGAGGGGAUUGUUGGCUUAAAUGGCUCGAUCCCUCCUGUGCGGGAGCAUUGGCAGGUCAUGUUUCGAAAUGCGUGAGCCGGUUGGGCCGAGUCAUAAUUCGAAGUGGCGUAGUGCAGGUGGGCCGAGGUCACAGAUCGAACCGUGAGCGCUGUUUCUGUAUUUAAGUGAAUUGGUUGCGUAAUUUUAACAGCUUGAGCUUUGGAUUAGUGGUUAACACCGAACCGAUCCGACAAUAACCUAGUGUCAAUGACACUAGGUUCAUUAUAUCAUUGUUAACUCUAUGUGCCUUUGACACUAGUUCAAUGCCACUCGAUUGUAGCGGCAUUCUAUGUAACACACUUACACAUACCCUUUAUACUUAUAUUCUUAUCUUAUCAUAUAUGCAUUAUCACUACAUCUUUCUACUUAGUUAACAUGUAAUCCACUUACUUAUGUCUUAGACUAACAAUCAUCAAGCAUAUUCUCUUUAGUCACUCAUACAACAACUUUAUUUCUUUCUCAAUAUCAUCUGAUUUACACAUAUUAGCUGUGAGCAGGGCUACUCUAGCAUUCGUUACUUGGCACAUAUUACAUGCAUUCUUUAUUAGCAUUUCAAUCAUGCAUCCAUUUCUAAAGCAUGCAUCUAGUUCAUGUUACUUGGCAUUUAACUCAUGCAUUUAUCUAGCAUAUGUCUUACAUACUCAUUUAGCAUUUAGCUCUUGCAUUCACUAGCAUACUUCACAUGCAUUUACUUAGCAUCUAGCCCAUGCCAUUAUAUGCAUUUAUUAGCAUCAUUAUAGUGCAUUCUUACUUAACAUUCUUAUCAUGCAUCAAUAGUGAAUCACACUACACUUUGGCAUGAAGGCGAUCUAGUCGCUUCGGUAAGCACAACCCACCUUUCAACGCGUUCUGAUUGCUUGUCGUCACUUGCAAUCGGCCUCCCACGGUACCCGUGACCUGGUUUGGCCCGAACUCUUGUGCGACCACCCGAACGGCCACCAAUCCGCGAUCCGUCUGUUCGGGAGUUUAUUCCCUGACACCACGAUACUCCCGAUCCAUUUUCAUGAUUUUUGGAGGCUUAUCCCGCGUGCUGCGGCUGUCUGUACCAAAACAGACUGUUUCGUCAAUAACCUCACGUACACUCGUCGGAUUGUCGAACCGAGCGCACCAACGCGUUCGUUAUACCCCCAAUUAGGUUUGUAUAGGGUCAAUUGAGAUCAAACCCAAAUAUUUACAAAAACCCUCUUUUGGAGCCCUAAUACCUCACUAUUGCAAUUAGCUUCAUACAAGCCAUUAAUCUUGCAAUAAAUGAGAUCAAUUACUUCUAGAGCAUCAUUAAACAUCAUCUAGCUAAGCUCAAAGAGGUCUAAAUCAUGCCCUAGCAUUCAACAUGAGAGGCUCAAAGAGCUUACCUCAACUAGCUAGGAAGAAGAUAGAGAAGGUGAUGAUGGUAUUUCUCUUGAUCCUCCUCUCCUUCUUCUCCUUCUUUUUCUUCUCUUUCUUUCUCUUCUUCUUCUCCUUCUUUUCUUUCUUGAGAGAGAGAGGGAGAGUUUGAGGGUGUUAAGGUUGAGAGAAAUGAGAGAAAGAUCUCAUUCCACAAUCUAAUAGCCUCUAUUAGUGCAAAAUUGCUGAAAACACCCUCAACAAUGCAUUUCUCGCAACAACUCGAACUGGGCAUUUUCGGACUCAGGGACCGGUCCUUGGACUUGAGGGACCGAUCCCCGUAGGGUCCAAAAUUCCGGCAUUUAGGACUUAGCCAAAUUUUCAGCUUUUUCACCGUUUUCGCUCCGUUUUCGCUCCUUUUCGCUCGUUUGACAUCCGAUUCGUUUCAAACCGAACCGAGACUCUCCAAACAUAUUUUCAUGCAUGUUUUCAUCAUCUUUUCAUCCACACUAAUGCCGGAUUUAGUCCAUGAUCCAACAUAGCCUUUCGGGUCCCGUUUUCGCGCCCUAUGCGCACCGAAACACCCGAAUGCUCCCGAACUUCGCCGGAAUAAUUCCAACGGCUUUCUAAGCUAACAUACAUCGUAACUUCAUGAAUUAGAAGUUCGGUAUAUUACAAGUGGGGCAGAGGACGUGCAUUGUUUGAGCCUCUACAUUUUACAGAGUCGCCCUAGUUGGCGGGGUCUUCGAAUUCUUGGCGAUAAGACUAUCUUGAACGGCCUUACAGAAUGGAAGGAUGACAUAAUCCGACGAUUCAAGAUAAGACUAUCUUGGUGUUCUAAGACUAAUACUUUUCAUUUUUCUUAUGGGGAGAUUGGUAUCUCUCUUUGGGAUAUUAGGGUAUUAGGAGGUAUUCCUAUUCUCGGAGAGAUGUAUGAAGAGUUCAUACCAAGGAACUAUGAUCUUGAUAUCUAUAAUGCUAGUCUCACUUCUUUGCUUACAGUAUAUGAGUGGCUUACUAUCAGAAACCAAGGGGGUCCGGUUUAUUAUAAUCAUUGGAUUGAUUAUUGGUAUUAAGGUGAUAUCGCGUCUUCUUCUCGACCACAUUUGAUUAGUGAUGAUGAGCAUUGUAUUGGCCCACCCAUCAAGAACAAUGGCUAUAGGGCUACGUUCUUAUCAUUGUGGCUUUGCAAAUUCAUUAUGCCAUCAGGCCAAAUUAAGGGAUACGAUUCGCCCAGAGGUCUUUGUUAUGGCCUCCAAAUUGGGUGAGGGGCUCAAAGUCGCUCUAGCUCCUGCAGUGUUAUGCUUAAUUCAAGUGGCUUUAGGUCACAUAGCCUCUGAUCCGCAGGGACCUUCCAAUUCUAAUUACCGCUUCCCUAUUCAUUUUUUGGCAACGUGGAUUCAUUCUCACUUCCGAGGGGCUUGCACCCGCGUAAAAUUCGAUGCCGAAGUUAUAAGGGUGCUGAAUCGCAUGCAAAUCCCCGAAAUGUUGCGAUUUAAAGAUGCGAGAAUUACUUCUUAUAAUUCGAGAAGACAUCACCAAGACGCAAAGAGAUCGAGGAUACAUCUAUGGCAACAGGGUUUGGCGCCCGUUCCCAUUCGCUCCAUCCAAAGAAGGUUGGGUUCAUGAAAUAGUUAAUUUGGCGGGGUGACAGAGUUCCCAGAUAAUAUCAAGGAGUACCUGAUGUCCAUCCGUCAUAGUAUCAUACCACUUCGUAUGGGAAAUAUACUCCAUGCACAACUUUACAAUCCUCACAGGUUUGCUCGCCAAUUUGGUUUUGAUCAGCACUAUGCUAGAGAUGCUGACAAUAUAGCUAGGAUUGUUGUUUCAGCUAGUGUGUUGAGAGGAUAUUGGUCACACUUCAUAAAAGUCCGCCAUUUUACCAGAUUUUUUAUUCCAAAUGCGAAUCGUGUUGGAAAACCAACACGUUUGUAUGCUCUUUGGUGGAGGAGUAUGUUAGAGCCUUAUUUCUCGUCUGGAAUUGAUUCGUUGGUUGAGCAUGAAUUAAACCCAAAGAAAAUUCACAGAUCCAUCCCUAGGUCUUUGUCUGUGGAGCCUCAACGCGGUGCUCGUGAUAUAAGUCCGUUUACUCAUACAGCUAAGCAAAAUCUCGUGGCAGAAUCUUCUCAUUAUUCUCUUCAGCAAACGCACGAGAUUCCGGACGUCCCUAAUUCAUCUUUGCUUGUGCAUAAUUGAUUCGAACCCAAUAUAGUAAACGAUCAGAUCGCUGCAAAAAGAGGGCUCCCGAAGACUCGAGCUGCAGAGACCCGAAAAGACCCUGUGUUGAUGCAUCAAUGGCCACGACGAGCGUCACAAGAGAAAAAGGUAAACACUUAUAUGCAUUGUCCUUUUUUUUUCCUCUUUUCUCUUAUUUAUUUAUAUCUCUCUUCUUUUUCUCACUCUUUUUUUUUUUUAAGCAUCUCAAAUUCAUAUAAAGUGUAUUCCUGAGGAGAAACUGUCAUCACCAAUACCCUCUGGAGGUAUCCAAUCUUAUUUCUCUCUUUUUUUUCUUUUUUUUUUUAUUCGUCCCUUUUUUUUCUUGCAGACUAUCUUAAUGAGAAUACUUAUUCUUCCAUGAUUGGCAACAAAGUAGAGCCUUCUCUAGUUCUUGCUUCUUUUGAUGAGGGUGGUGAGCCUUUCUUCUCUAUCCCUUUCUCUCUUUUUUUUUUUUUUCUUUUCUUACUAAUUCACCUAUGUUUUGUUAUGUAGGUCGUGACCAUAAUCCCUUGAUUGAUGCAAAGGCUAUUGUGGUGGAUCCUUAGGACAUUGCUUCCCCACGAGAUGCCUCCUUUUUUUUUUUUUCUUGAAAUAUGGGCAGGUCUCCUAACUACCCCUUUUUNUUUUUUUGAAUAUCUUGAAAUAUGGGCAGGUCUCCUAACUACCCCUUUUUUGUUUGCAGAGAUCGAAGACAGUAUCCCUUCUCGAUAUAACCCUGAAGUCGACUAUGAACCAACUCCAUCGGUUAGUAAGGAUAAUUCGGACUAGCCUCAAGAUACGGUAAUCUCAUAAGACCUGUAUACGAAGACCACUCAUGUGCUUCCAGUAUAAUGAUCACUAAUUUGCUCUCCUUUUCCCCUUUUUAGUGGGUAGUUGACGAAGAUGUCUCAGAUACAAAUAUAGCAGUUUUCGCACACACUCUAAUAGGAAAGACAAAUAUGGCAGUUUCGGCGUACACUCUAAUAGGAAAUGAGUCCAAGGAUAAUGUUGAUGAUACAGCUACAACAAAAGAGAUUUGGAGAUUAAGUCUGUAAAUGGAGAUGAUCCUAUUGCGGCUGUAGGCGUUUCGUCGAAGAACAUGCUUUUGGAAAGAAGGUGGUGGCACAGGUCAUCCAAUAUCUUCCGACCAUGGCGUUGGACAGGAAAGUAGACCCACUUUGAUAGAUCAUUUGAUCGAGAUAGUAAGGACCUCCAGUUAUCACACUUAUCCCGUCAUCCAAGUAAAAAUUAUCGAGUAUUGUGAGAUUCUGUCCCGUAUAGGGGUUGACACCUCUGGCUUGAAUAUGCAUCUCCAUAAGUUAUUCAGGGAAGCAGAAGCUAUUUGAGAGGUUGCAGCUUAUCCAUCUUAUUCUUCGUCGGCUCGAAUCUUGAAGGCCGAGGAGCACAUGGCGCGAAUCACUAAGGAGCUCAAAGAUUAUGACUCUAAAAGGAGUUCUCUGACCCGAACUAAGGAACAAGCUUUGACCUUACUUGAUCAGCAGCGCCAUAGGGUUGAGGAUUUAGAGAGGACUCUCGCGGCAGCGCGAGCAAAGGAAGCAGAAUUGAACGACGAGGUCAAUACUAUAAACGAAUGCAUCUUUCGGCUUGACUCGGGCAAGGAUAAGGCAGUGGCAAUAAUAGAAGGAGCAAUUGAAGAAUUUGGAGCGACUGAAGAUAGCCAUAGCACAACGGUGGAAUUCAAUCAUCUUUCUAAUCUCAUAAAGGAUUUUGAACAUCAUUGCAAGGAGUUUGAUUUAUGAGCCUCUAUUUUUUUUUUUUCAGAACCUUUCUUUCUUUUUUUUUUUUAAGAACCGGAACUCACCUUUGUUUAUGAUUUCAUCUCAAGACAGUAGUAAUUUCCUACCUUUCAUAUUGUUAUUCUUACUUCUCUGCCUUCUUAUUUUUUGCUUGGCUUUGAAAGGUAAGCCAGUAUUUCCUCCUUGAGAAGGUUUUGAGAAAUGUGUUUUGUUUGAUUUGUUUGACCUCCGAAAGCAACUCAGUGUAUCGAGAUUGCUGCGUAUAACCGACCCCAAAGGGUGAGUUAGCAUUCCAUCGUCGGCAAGAGGAACAAAGAAUAUUGUUAAGUUUAUUUGGCCUCCGGAAGCAACUCGGUAUAUCGAGAUUGCUGCGCAUAACCGACCCUAAAAGGUGAGUUAGCAUUCCAUCGUCGGCAAGAGGAACAAAGAAUAUUAUUAAGUUUAUUUGGCCUCCAGAAGCAACUCGGUGUAUCGAGAUUGCUGCGCAUAACCGACCCUAAAGGAUGAGUUAGCAUUCCAUCGCCGGCAGGGAAAGGUGUGGAUUUUAGGUUUAUUGGAAGCUAGCGCCUGUGAGGGUUUUCACUAAAGACCUUUUCCCUAACUUUUGCCUGUGAGCCAAAUGCAGGUUUUCUCACAGCGGGGAUUCCAUUUUUUGCCUGAGAAAUUUAUUCACAGCUGGAUUUUUUCUUCUUCUUUUAUUUAUUUAUUUAUUUAUUUAUUUUUAUGGAUAUUAUUUUUUUCAAAAAUCAUCCGUUGAUCGGUGGCAUCGGUCUUUCUUCUUGUGAACUGGACCUUGUCCUUGUGGUAGUACUCUUCCAGACCUUAAUUUUAUUUGCAGGGUAUCUCUUUUAUCAUUUUUCGAAUCAGUACUGACAUCAACUGCCCUACAAAUCUCACUCUGAAUUUUCUUCGAACUCUUGCCUUCAUAAGAGUGAAGCAUAUCUAUUAUCGUCCUUGUCUAAGAGCUUAUAUUUUUCACUGCCGUAGCAACACAGUCUAGAUUUGACUUUAAAGAAUGGACGUCUAGCUGCAGUCUUUUCACAUCGUUCCUACUUAUAGGAUACGAGUUUCCAUUCUUUUUAAUUCUUAAUUUUGGGGGGAAGAUUCGUAUGCCAGCCAUGCACUGUCACUUUCUUCGUUCACCAUUGCUGUUUGUUUACUUUUUCAUCUCCGUUUAUUAACAGACUCUUUAGAGUGAUUUUCGGAAAUGGUGAUCACUCUACAAGACUCCCUGUUGAGAGUUUUCUCUUCAAGCUUUUUUAAACGUUGACAACUUCUAUAAGAGUGGCCAUUAGUUCUACAGAAGCUGCAGAUGAUAGGCUCAUUCUCAUCAUAUGGUAGAUAUGUUCUCAGGGAUCUUAUGUUCCUUGUAGCUUGAUUCUUCUUGAAGCCUUUACUGGUUGAGGGUUGCAUUUGAUUUCUCUUUGCAUAUUGUUCUAUGUUAUGCCCCCACUCCUGAUGGCUCGGAGAAAAUCGAAGUUGUGCUUCUCUUUGCUCUGUUUUCUGAGUCUUCUUAGUUACAAAAGUGUUCCAAAACUCUGGAGAAAGAGGGUUGUCGAGCCCCAUCGUUUCUUGGGUUCCUGCACUAAUUGCAUUAGUUUCCUCCACUUGUGGAUCUGUCAAGACUGAACGAGAUAGGGUGAUGGCAUCGGUUUUAUAUUGUUUCUCAACCCAAUCUUUAAACACCCAAAAUCCUUCAAUAGAGUGAUUGACUAUUCUAUGAUAGAGACAAUAAUUUGAGUCAUUGAUUUUACCGACAUCUUUUGGUCUCUUCGGCUCUGGUAACUGCAGACCACUUUUGAUAGCAUCAUUGAGUAUUUUUUUCACUUUGUCUCUUUUAAAGGAGUAGACUUUACUCUUUCUUUUCCCCAUAGUCAUCUUAUAGUUACCACCGCCCAACAUUGGCUUAGAUGUCGGCCCAACUGAGGUAUUAGGCUUCUUCUCUUUUUCUAUAUUGUUAGCGUAGGCGGUUCUCGAAUGAGUGGUUUUGGCUUCAGCUUCCUUUUUAUCUUCCUUCUGAGAUCUAGAAGGGUAAACACUCGUCAAAAUUUGUGGAUCUGUUUUCUCUAGCUUUGAGACAUUCAGUAUAAGAUCCUGAAAUGUGGUGCAACUGGUAGUAAAAAGGAACGGGGCCAUCCAGUUGUCUAUAUUCCCCUUGAGCAGCUCUACUGCUUGAGGUUGCUCUAGGGUUGCUUCACAUCGAGUUAUGUAGUCUAGUAUUGAUUCAUGUUUCUUUCUUUUAGUAGCUGCCAGAUCAGCUAUUGAAAUUUUAUCGCUAACUGUAGCGAGUUUUGCUCGAAAAACAUUCUCCAUUUCACUCCAAGUUUUGAUUGAGUCAUCUUUGAAAGAAUAAUACCAGUCGAAAGCUAUCCCAGUCAAACUUUGAGGGAAUUGGCGCAAUAAUAACACAUUGUUGCCUCCGGUGUUACCACACGUGGCCUUGAAAUGUGCCAAAUGUUAAUCCGGAUUGCCCACCCCAUUAAAUUGUUUGAAUUUAGGAAUGAUAUACCCUAUGGGAAAGGGUAUAUCAUCAUAUUCCACAGGAUAUGGAUGCCCCAUUCCUUUCUCUUUGAGUAUUGACCCUACCAUCGACUCUUUUAGUUGAAGGGCAAUAAGUUCUGAUAUUUAAUCUCUGGUCAUAUUAUGAGUAUCUUUCUAGAUGCGAGCUGUUGUAGUCAACUGAUUUGUUUGAUUUUCUUCGGUGGAUGAGUUCAAGGUUGGCUGUGUAAAUUGAACUUCAGGGUUGCGCAAUUGCACUCCCAUGUGUGUCUGUAUGUUGAUGACCAUUUCCAAGACCUCGUCUAACUUUCUAUUCAGGUUUGAUAUAUCUUUAUCAUUUUCCUCCAGUUUCUUUUUCAUUGAAUCGAUUAGGAGAUCUUUAGGAUCCCGGGAAAGAAAAGCGGGCUCCUUUUCAUUCUCCUCCAUGUUAAACGGGUCUAGAGGUAAGUCAGUAUUAGGGUGCUAAGGUAGGUCAGUGUUGGGAUGUUCUGCUAUCUCUUGAGAGGAAUCACUUCUUUUUGUUUCAGGGGCCUUCUUCCUUCUACGUAGGAGGGCGGCUUUCAUAGCUAUCUCCCUCAGUGUUAGAUUAUCAUCUUCAUUAUCUCCUUCUGUAUGAUUGACCACCCUCACUGUGUGAACAGUCAAUCUCUUGGAGUUUUUUAUUUGUUUCUCCUGAUCAUUGACUGGUUUAACAGUAUUCUUUACCCUCCACUGCUUCGUAAUUUCUUGUUCACCUGCAAUGGUUACUUUUGCCCCCUAAUUGUAUAUGUUUUCACCCAUACGAUGCCUUUUGACCUCUUUCAAGGCCUCGUAAAUACGUUGAAAUAUAGUUGUUUCUUUAUGUCUUGGCGACGCCUCACUAGCAGAUCGUAGGCGGCUUGCCUCGUUAACAGGUCGUAAGUGACCCAUUUCUGUGUUCGGGCGGAGAACAGCGGUGGGUGAAUUCUUUUUGACGAACUUGAGUGGGGCGAACUUGUUAUGCAUGAGACCCGCCGGUUCGACUAUAGCCUUGAUCAGCGGUGGUGCCUCUGUCCCCUUGUCUUCCCUUGUCUUCUCUUUAAGGAACAUCUGGCGUUUCUCUUAAAAGAUCCGGAUUUUAGAUGAAGUGCCAUCUCGGCAACUUCACCUGUAGAGGUCGUCAGUCUAUCGAAAACUGAUUUUCUUGGAGUCUCCGAAUCAAUGGUUUCAGAAUUGAUAGGGGCCAAUCUUUUAAAGACAGACAUCCUUGUAAGCUGGCCAUCAGAAAAUUUGAGUCGGCCCUCCAUCACCAUCCUUGUUGCGGCAGAAGGAACAACCAAUCGCUCCUUGGCAGGCCUGCGAGGAGGAUUCGGGAUGAUGACGUUUGGGCGCCUCCUACGUGAUGGAAGGUGAGCAAUCACUCAGUUGUUUGGAGCCAGAAUGGCUUUGUCCUUGGAGUCCGUCGAAGUCCUGCCCUCACCAAGUUGAGUGGCUCGCUGGGGCAUGACAGUAGUUAGAAUGUCCUCAGUGAUGGUGCCGAACUAGAUGGUGACACCGGCAGCCUCUAUCUUCAUCAUGGAAGCGGGAAAGCGAAUUUGUGCUGCAUUGACCGUGGUGUUGUUUGACGCCAUUGCUCUGCAUAUACAAGACAGCAGAUGUCAGUCACACAUAGAUAUAAAUAUAUUUUGGUCUUUUAUUAGCAUUUAUUAAUUAGGUCUCAAAGAUGGAGGGUGAAGCCAUGUCUCACCGGGCGUGCCAUUUUGUCUGCCGCGAAUGAACCGGCCCCGCCGUAGGUGUUUUUAAGGCGAGUGGUCAUUCAUGGUAGAUAUUAUAUUUGUUUUUCUUUUGGAAUCAGGAUUAUAGGUUCAUGACUUCCAACAGACUCAAGAGUUUGCUGUUAAUUACUCCACACUUUCGGUGUUAAUGAACCAUCGAUUAAGAAACCAAAUAUAAAUAUUGAUAAUAAAAGAAACAAAACAGACAAAUAAAAUUUUAUUAAUAUGAUUUCCGUGCACAUGGCUUAAGCAAGGGCAUUCCCCCACUGUACAUAAAUUUUAUAAAACUAAAUACUCAGUUUAUAGACUUGAUGGUCGAUUAGGAUCAGAUUGCUCAGUUUAAUGACAUGGCGGUCGGUUGAAGUUUUGAUGCUUAGUUUAAUGACAUGACGGUCGGUUUAAGUUUGGUUUAACGACUUUGCAGUCGUUUGGAUUGGGUUUAGUUUAACGACUUUUCGGUCGUUUGAAUUUGGGUUUAGUUUAGCGACUUUUCGGUCGUUUGAAUUUGGGUUUAGUUUAGCGACUUUUCGGUCGUUUGAAUUUGGGUUUAGCUUAGCGACUUUUCGGUCAUUUGGAUUUGGGUUUAGCUUAGCGACUUUUCGGUUGUUUGGAUUUGGGUUUAGCUUAGCGACUUUUUGGUUGUUUGGAUUUGGGUUUAGUUUAGCGACUUUACGGUCGUUUGAAUUUGGGUUUAGUUUAACGACUUUUUAGUCGUUUGAAUUUGGGUUUAGUUUAACGACUUUUCGGUCGUUUGAAUUUGGGUUUUGGGUUUUAUUUGUAGACUUCGGAUUUUUCUUUUUAUUUGUGGACUUUGGAUUUUUUGGAUUUUGUUUGUGGAUUUUGGGUUUUGGAUCUUUAUUCAUGGACUUUGGGUUUUGGAUCUUUAUUUGUGGACUUUGGAUUUUUGGGAUUUUGUUUGUGGAUUUUGGGUUUUUAGGAUUUUGUUUGUGGAUUUUGGGUUCUGGGUUGAGAAGUUUAUUUGUAUGAAUUUUUAUUGGUUUUGGAUCCAAAUCUACAUGUGGCUUGAGAUGGGUUUCGGGCUUUAUAUGUUUUAGGCCUUGGAUUCGAAUCUGCAUGUGAACUUGGAUUGGUUUUGGACUUUACAUGUUCUGAGCCUUGGACCCGAAUCUGCAUGUGGAUUGCAAUUAGUCUUGAACUUUACGUGCUCUGGGCCUUGAACCCGAAUCUGCAUGUGGGCUGGAAUUGAUUUUGGACUUUACAUGUUCUGGGCCUUGGACCCGAAUCUGCAUAUGGGCUUGGUGCUUUAUUUUUUUUUACUGCUUAUGGAAUUUGUUUGUUGGGCCCAUGUUAGAUUGAACCAUUUUCAAAAUAACUCAAAUCUAAUUUCUCAAAUUUUGUUCCUUGUUCUUUUUUUCCUUUUUUUUUUUGAUUGACCAGGAGAGAUGGAACAAUUUUUUUCUUUUUUUUUCUUUUCAUUUCUUUUUUUUUCUUUUUUUUUUGUUCUUCUUUUUUUUUUCUUUUUUUUUUCUUCAUUUCUUUUGUUGAUUGCCAGAGAGAGGUAAGGAACAACUCUUUUUCUUUUCUUUCUUUUUUUCUAUUUGUUGUAUUUUUUUUUCUUUUCUCUCUUUUUUUUGUUGGUUCUCACUGCCAGAGAGAGAGAGAGAGAGUUGGAAACCCAACUUCCCCCUUUUUUUUUUUUCGUAUUUGUUGUAAUUUUUUCUUUCUUUGCGUUCUUUUUUUUGUUGUUCUGAACUGCCAAGAUUCCAACUCCCCUCUCUCUGGAGAGAGAUUCCAACUCUCUCUGUGAAGAGAAGAGAGAGAGAGAGAGAGAGAGAGGGGGAGGGUUUAAUCACUCGCGUUUUCCGCCUUUUUCUUUUUUUUUUUUGUUUUCUUUUGCGUUUGUUUUUUUUUUUUUUUUAUUCAUCAUUUUUUUAUGUCAAUAUAUCAAAAUUUUUUUAUUAUUUUUUUUUAAAAAAAUAUCGAAUUGAUCACGUCGAGCAUGUACGAUUCGAAUCGAACUAAGAGACGAAUCAAGACGUCACUGCGUCCCAUUUUUUUUUAUUCAUUUUUAUUAUUGUUAUAUUAUAUUAUUUAUUUAUAUAUAUAUAUAUAUUUAUAUUAAUAUAUAAAGAGAGAGAGAAGAGAGAGAGAGAGAGAGAGUAAGGCUACUAUGCUAUUGAACAGCACGGAGCCUCGUUCUUCCAGCUCCGUUUUCGAUUUGCGACUUUCGAAUCGUCGAUAGCCUCAUCUUUUUAUGAUUUUCGAAUUCAUUUUGCCUAGUGAUCGAAAGGGUCUCAAAUUCAAUAAUUUAAUGACUCAGAAGUGAGCCGAUUUGCUAAGUUCUAUAUACGCUGUACGAAAUAUCAAUCGCCCUAGAAAUUGUGAUGAAAUUCUUUUCAUACUAAUAUUAAACAAGAUCAUAUCUUGAUCUAAAAUUUCUAAUAUCAUAUUUAUCACGUUUUGUAAGAUUUUUAUUUCAGCCCCGUUGAUCUUGAAGCCUCUUGGACUUCACUAGCUAAACUAAUAUCCGAAAAAUUCGCAUAAUUUAACGGAGCCACAUCGACGAUUCGAAAGUCGGUCAACAUUCGAAAACGAGCUGCAGGCAACGGAAGGCCUCGGGCUUCCGAUAAGCUAAGUAUUCCUAUCCAUAUAAUAUUAUAUAUUAUAAUAUAUAAAUAUAUAUAUUAUAUAUAUAUAUAUAUAUAUAUCACGUUUUGUUCAAGUACGCGGGGUUUAAUCGUGUCAAGCUUAUCAUGAAGAUGGCCGCUCGAUUAACCUUUUCAACCAAGUCGAGCCUAUCGCGAAAAUAGCCGCACGGUUUACGCAGUAAAAUGAACGGUGCUCGAUAACCCAUUAGCGAUGCAUACGCCCGAUGAAAGUGACGAUUUGAUGUCAAAUUUGAUCGAUUCGAAACUUAUCACGAAGAUAGUCGGGUUGAUCAAAUUGACAAAAAAACGCACUUAUGCUAUGCAUAUGCAUACAUAUCUCCUAUUGUUGUAGAAGUCGUCGUGAUUCUUGUUGUCGAACUCGUAGUCGAAUGAGAGAGUCAAAGUCCUUUUUUUUUUUUUUUUUUUUUGUUGCUGUGGUACGGACAAAGGAGGUGGGGUGCACAUGGCACCCUCCUCUGCCAGCAUGGCCAAAAGGCCUCUUCCUUUGUGCAUGUACCCGAGGGAGAGAGAAAGAGGGAGAGAGAAAAAAGUAAAAAAAAAUAAAUAAAUAAACAUUCCUUCUCACCUUUUGUUUUCUCUCCGGUUCUCCUUUUUUUUUCUUUUUUUUUUCUUCUGCUAAAAAAAUUCUCUAGCCCUUUUUCAAAGUUUUGAUCUUAUUUUUAUAUAGGAUUCAAAAAUGAUUCCCAUUUGGGAAUAGUUUGAAAAUCAACUAAUUGAGAAAUCAAACCUCAAUGAACUAAUUUAUACUCGUUUUGUUUUAUUUUGAAUACUUUCCUUCUUCUUUUUUUUUAUUUCCUUUUCUCUUUCUCCUUAUAUAUAUAUAUAUAUAUAUAUUGAAACUAGACUACUAUAUAAGGCAAAAUCCAUUUGCUACCCAGUUUUAUUAAACCUUUGGAUUAACUCUUUUCAUUAUCUUCUAUCCAUUGGAUAAAUACUAUAACCCAGUAGUGACCAUCAACCUAUGGGUACCUACUCACUCUAGCACCGCCUAAUGACAUCCUGACCCUAUCAAAUUUUUCAUCCAAGGGCAUAUAAAACUGAUAGCAAAAAAAGCGUUUUAACUAUAAUAUAAUUCCAAGCCUAAUAUAUAUAUUAAAUAUAAUAAUAUUCUGGAAUCAAUAUUAAUUAAAAUACGCUUUUUGACUAUCCAAGUUUUAGCUCCUUUGAUUUAACAAAUUGUAGGUCGCGAAUAUAUUAGUCGUUAGUAGUGAGUGGUCCCCUAGGUUACGUUGUCCUCAGUAUAUUAUAAUUAGGCUGGAAUAUUAUUAAUAGUAAAACGCUUUUUUUGCUAUCAAGUUUUUAGCCCUUGGAUGAAAAAUUGUAGGGUCAGGAUGAUAUUAGUCGGUUAGAGUUGAGUGGUCCCCCUAGGGUUGAGUGGUCCCUACUGGGUUAUAGUAUUUAAUCCAAUGGCUAGAAAUAAUGAAAAGAGUUGAUCCAAAGGCUAAAAAACUGAUAGCAACAAUGGGAUUUUGCUACUAAUAGUAGCCCAGUCCAAAUAUAUAUAUAUAUAUAUAUAUAUAUAUAUAUAUAUAUAUUAGAAUUUGAAUUUAAGUAGAAUAUGACACCUACUCUAAUUAGGAUAUAUACUUUUUUUUUAUAUAUAUGUACCUUCUCCUUUUUUUUUUAACUCGAACAGGAUCUCGAGGAAGGAGAGGUGCACACAGUGCAGGAGGAGUGGGUGAUGUGGGUAGAUUGUCACAAUAGCGAACAGCUCGUCUAGUUGUGACUACCCAUUCAGCCCAAGCUACAAAUCAGCUCCAGAGUUCAACCUAAAUGGCCCCAAGCUUCACAAAUAAACAAUAUCAACAGCUUUUAGCACUUGAUCAAUUAAAUAAAUAUCAAGUAAGAAUUUCACUCACAAUGAUAUUAUGGAUUGAAUACUGGACACAGGAGUCUCAAUGCAUAUCACCGAAUGAUAGAAUAUUUUGACGAACCCGAAAGAGUAGAAGCAUCGUACCCUAUAUAACUCCCAAAUGGGAGGACAGUUCGGGUUAAGAUAACGAGACAAAUGAAAUUAGGCCCGAAUUUAAUUUUAAGAAAUGUUCCUUACGUUCCUGGUUUUAUGUGCAAUUUAAUUUUGCUUCAAAAAUUGACCGCGGAUCUAAACUAUUUGGUGACAAUUUUUCCUGAUUUUUGUCUUGUAUAGGACCUCACCUUGAAGAAGCCAAUUGGAGUAGGUGAAUUGAGGGGAGGGGUCUAUAAUCUCAAGUGCGUGACACUAUUGUCAGCAUGUGCGGUAACCACGGCGGAGAGCUAUAAUUUAUGGCAUCGACGACUAGGACAUCCCUCGCGCUAUGUUUUGAAUUUAAUUCCAAAAAUUUCAAUUAACAAGUAUUUUAGUGAUUAGCAUAUUUGAAGUAUCUAGAAAAUAAAAUUUAUAAUUUUUCAAUAUCAUUCACCUAGAGAUCGAAAGGAUUCAAAAUCAACAAAUUUUAAUGAUUGAUAUAAAUCAUUUGCAAGUUUAACGGUGUAAAAAUAUUCAAAUCAGAUAAAUUUUGAUAGAAAAUUUUUUAUACUAUUUACUGUAAGAUCAAUUUCUAUAAUUGAAAAUUUUAGUGCUAGAUCAAUUCUAACGGAGCCGAUCGUCGAUUCGGAAGCUUGUGCUAUUAGGAGUAAGGAGGCCUUCGUACUCCUAAGCCGUUUUCGACGAUGGAACUUCUGAAUCGACGAUCAACUAUGUUGGACUUGAUUUACCAUAUUUGAAGUAUCUAGAAAAUAAAUUUUGUGAUUUUUCGAUAUUAUUUACAUAGCGAUCGAAAGGAUCAAAAUUAAUGAUUGAAAAUAAAAAUCUCACAAAAAAGUGGUGAUAUAACACUAAAAUUUUCGAUCAGAUAUAUUGAUCUUGCAGUAAAUAGUAUUAAAAAAUUUUCUAUCAAAAUUUCAUUUGAUUUAAAUACUUCUACACUUUUUUUUUUUUUUGAGAGAGAGAUAGGUAGCACGCUACCCGUUUCGUUUAUUUCAUUUAGAAAUAAACUUAGCUAGAAAUGUGAAUCGACUAGGAUUCGAACUUGGGUCUCGGGUACCAACCACCAAGCCCUUUGUCACUUGCUCUAGGGACGGUUGGUACUGUUAAACUUCCAAACAAUAUACAUUAAUUAUUAAAAAUUGUUGAUUUUGAUCCCUUUCAAUCGCUAGGUAAAUGAUAUCGAAAAAUCGCAAAAUUUAUUUUCUAGAUACUUCAAAUACGUUAGAUCAAGUCUAAUAGAGCCGAUCAUCAAUUCGGAUGCUCCAUCAUCAAAAACGGCUUAAGAGCACAGAGACCUCUAUGCUCCUAAUAGCACACAAGACCUACUCUAUAUAUAUAGACACACACACUAACCAAUGGCCCUGUGACAUCUCAAUAGUCACACAUUAGUUGGGAAUGAGAUUGUGAUUGAAAAUAUAAAAGAUCAUUGAUCUUAAUAAUAAUAACUGGGCUGAAAUAUUUUGGGCUGAUAGUUUAAUGCCAAUGACUUAUUAUUAUUAGUGUGCUGGAUCCUUACUUUCACUUAGGAUGAAGUAAAAGUCCAAUGGGCAAACAAAGCCCAUAUGUCUUUAACAGUUUACUAAAGAAUAAAUAGUUUUGUUUUUUCCGUUUUUGGGGGGAAACUAUAAUUUGUCUCUGUAUGGUUUAGAGCAUUUUGAGUUUAGUACCAUGUGAUUUGAAGUGUUUCACCUUGCCGUGAUUACCCUGUGAUUUGAAACGUUGCACUUUGCUGUUAAGUAAAUUAAUAUUUACUUUGAAGUGUUUUAUUUUUAUUUUGCUGUUAAGAAGGAUACUAAAGUGAUAACAUUUAUAAACCAGGGGAUAGUAAAUUAACAUAUUUUACAAGCCACAUGGUGACAAAUUAUAGUAUUUUACUAAACUAUAUUUUUAUAUAGUCAUUCUGUGAUUUGUAAAAUAUAUUAGUUUAAUUAGUAUCCUACUUAACAGCACAUCUUAAUGAUAAGAUAAAAAUAAAACCACAGCGUAGCAAAAUGAAUCGCUUCAAACCACAAGGUGUCAAAUUGAAAAAUACGCUAAAUCAUAGAGGAAGGCAAAUUAAAGCUUUUUCCUUCUUUUUUUCUGAGAGAAAAAUUCUUUAAAAACAUAUUAGUACAUGAAGAAACUAUAGCAAUAUUCAGAAAGAGGAAUUAUAAUCUCUACAAUCCCAUAUUCAAGAGUGCUUAUAAUUUACUAAUCUCCUUUUAGUUUUAAGUAUUAAAAAGGAAAAUGAUAAGACUAGAUUUCCGAUUUAAAAUUUAAAAUCUACGACAACCAAAUAUAUAAUGGAUCGGGUGCGGACCGAGAUUUGCAGAAUUUCUAAAGAACCGGCCCGAUCCGCGGUCCUCCUUGUGAGAAAUUUGGCCCAUGUAAAUGAACUCUACAGUAAAUCCAAAACUAGGCCCAAAAAUAAGUAGAUUUAUUGAUACUAAAAGUGACUAUUAGGAUCAUGCCAAAUUAAGAUAAUAGAAUUUAGGGCCUUUAUGCUCUCUUGCAUACUUUUAUUUGUAUGAGCAAUGCCUGCUUGUACACCUGUUGGGUCGGAUCAUACUAUACCCAAGUCCAGACCAAAAAAAAUAUAUCGGGAUUAGGGUUGGGCUUUUAUCCAAUUUUUAAAAAAAUUAAGGCCCCGCCGAGGUCUAAUCCCAAUGCCCAAUAUCCAUCGGGCUUUGUGGAGGCCCACUUUACGUAUUUGUCACAUAGUUCAAAUAUAUUUUUAUUGUAUAAAAUUAAGAUAAAAUAAAAUAUUCUCAUGUUAAUAAAUAAUAUAUAUUACAUAUAAUGUUAAGUUGUAUGUAUAUAACUAUGUAAAAUAAUGUGGACUAUAUAUUUUUCCUUAUAGAUGCAUAAUUGUAUAUAAUAAUAUUAUAUAAUAUAUUCUCAUGUAGAAACUAAAUAUUUAGUUUUACUUAUAACAUCGUCAUAUAAUCGCCCUCGAUUCGGAAGCUCCAUCAUUGAAAACAACUUAUGAGUACGAGGGCUCUAAUAUUCAUAAUAGUAUAGUAGCCAUGGCCUAUAUAUNNNNNNNNNNNNNNNNNNNNNNNNNUAGAUAGUAUAAAGAAUUUUGUAUUAAAAUUUUAUCUGAUUUAAAUACUUCUACACCGUUAAACUUGAAAACGGCAGAUAUCAACUAUUAAAAAUUAUUGAUUUUGAAUCCUUUCGAUCACUAGGUAAAUGAUAUAAAAAAAUUGCAAAAAUUAUUUUCUAGAAACUUCAAAUACAGCUCAGGAGCACGGAAGCCUCCGUGCUCCUGAGAGCACAGCAACCCUACUAUAUAUAUAUAUAUAUAUAUAUAUAUAUAUAUCCUUAAUAAUACUAUAUUCUAUAUACAAAUAUAUUAUAUAUAUAAAACUAAAUAUCUUAUUUUGAUAAUUAAUGUAUUGGGCUUUCAAGUCAGGCUUGGACCAGGCUUGAACAUGUCCAGAUAGGCCCAAAUUUUUUUUUAGGCUUAAAUUUUUAAGCCCACCCUAGACCGAAAGUAAUAAUUUACUCAAAGCCUGGCCCAUAGAUGGCCCAUCAGGCCGGCCCUUGUUUAGGCCCAGGCCGAAUUCCACCCCUAGGUGUGAUACACUCUGGCCAUCUAAAGGUUCAUAUUUGCUCACUAGACUUAUCAAAUUAUUUUUAACGACGGUAUGGAAUACUUGUUAGUUUAACGGUGUAAAAAAAUUGAAAUUGAUUAAACCUUUGAUAGGAAAUUUUAUUCACUAUUUAAAUAAUGAUCAAUAACUCUAAUUAUGAAUUAAAGAAUCCGAUCAUUCAUGUUUAGGAUAUUGUUCAAUUUUGAUUAUUUAUUUUAUACCCACUUGAUGGACGUUAUCAAAAUUUUGAAAAAUUACGAAAUUUAUUUCCUACAAGUCUUAAAUGUUCUAGAUUAUAUUUAACGGUGUGUAUCAUCGAUUUGAAAGCUCCGUCAUUGAAAACAACUUAUGAGUAUAAAGGGUUCUGUGCUCGUAAGAGUAUAGUAGCCCUACUCUCUCUCUCUCUCUCUCUCUCUCUCUCUCUCUCUCUCUCUCUAUAUAUAUAUAUAUAGAAUUGAGCUUCUAUGCUUUUAAAAGUAUAAAGUUAUUGAUGCUUGUAGAUAUUUGGCCAUUGGAUUAAGAGAUGUGCGGUUAGGAUGAUGUGGGCCCUUAGAAUUGAGCGGGUGGUUGAUUAAAUAGUAAGGUCUAACAGAUGUCAAAAAGAUAAACCUAAUGCUAGAAAACUUAGUAGCACCACGUUCAUGGUGCUAUUAAAAGUACACCAGUCGGACUCUCUUUUUCUCUCUCUAUAUAUAUAGAGAGAGAAAGUAGAGCUAUAAUACUAUUGAUAGUAUGGAAAUAUGAAAAUAGGUUUUGACCAUUGAAAGUCUAAGGUUUAGGAGGUUAAUGGAAUAGUAAUAAGCUAAUGGUGGAAAAGUGGAUAACGAAUACUAUUUAUAUACUAUUAAUAGUAUGCUAGGUGAAUUCUAUAUAUAUAGAUAGGGAGUUCAACUAAAAUAGUAUUCACCUUUCACUUUUCUAUUCUUAGAUUAUUACUAUUCCAUUAAACCCUCACUAAUCCUCGAUAUCCAAUGGUCAAAAAAUGGAUAGUAAAUAUCAUUCACAUAUUAUUAAUAAUAUUCCGGUGCAACCAACCGUCUCUAUCGUAAGUCGAAAUGGGUUUAGUUGUUGAUACCUGAGGUCUCAAAUUCGAAGCCUAUUUGUUUCAUAUUUCUAUCUAAGUUUGUUUCUAAAAAAAAUAAACGAAACGGAUAGUAUGCUACAUUUCUCUCAAAAAGAAAAAAUAUUCCAGCACCACUCUCUCUCUCUCUCUCUCUCUCUCUCUCUCUCUCUCUCUCAAGGGAAAUAAAAUCUGCAAUCCCAAGAAAGAAAUAUAUAAAAAUGUAGAAAGAACCACUCAAUAUUAGGAUCAUAUCGACCAUACCUAGCACAGCGCCUAGUUCCAUCAUAUUUCUAUCUGAAUUUAUUUUUUGAAAAAAUAAGAAAUGAACGAAGGGGUCUCUCUCUCUCUCUCUCUCAUGCUAGGAUAAUCUCACAUAAAAUAGAAAAAGAAUUGUAUAAGAAAAUAUAAAAUCAAAAACUUUAGCAAUAAUAGCUGGAUGGAAGUAUUUUAGGCCAGUUGGUUCGGAACUAAAUGCUGUAGAUCGUGAUAAACUCAUAUUAGAAAGAAAAAAAAGGAAAAAAAAAAAAAGCUCUAAAAUGAUCAUCUGAACUUUUCCUGCUGAAAAAUAGUUUACUGUCCAAACUUUAAAUUAAAAUAUUUUGGCGGUUACAUCUUCAUAUGUUCAAAUAAAUAUUAGGAGACACUAUUUGUUAGGUUUAACUUAACUUCUCUAGGGUUUGGUGCAUGAUGUGGGUGUUACAUGGGAGGUGAAAGGGAACAAAACAUUAUAAGGCGACGAACACAAGGAGCCAAAAAGCGCUUUGGACGUUGCGCCCUCGAAAAGGAGGAGAAAUAAAUGGUGUGGUGUGGGUUUUUGAUUACAAUGGACAACAAACACCCCACAUUUCAUGGGCAUUUUAUUUAACUCUUAUCCUCAUUUUCAUGGGUUGGGACUUGCAUGGGACCAUGUAUAAAAAGGCUAAUAAUAAUGACAAAAAGUCCCAGUUUAAUUUGGAUGCCUUUAAAUAAAAUUUUCUUCGUUAAUAAUGACAAAAAUUCUAGAAAAGAAAGAGUCUGAAAAAAAAAUAAUAAUAAUUUCGAAAAAAAAAUUCCAUGGAAAACUCUUUCUUCUGUUUUCUCUGCGUAUUUCAUUAUGAAAAAAGCUAGCUUUUUGGAGAAAUUUUUGCCAGAUGUCACGGAAAAGUAGUGUUUUUUUUUUCAUUUAAAAAAAAAACAGAAAUGUUUUCAAUGACAAGCUGGUAUAUUAUCGGUAGCACGAAGACCUCUGUGCUAUCAAGUUGUUUUCAAUGAUGCGGCUUCCAAAUCGACGAUCGGUUCUGUUAGAAUUAAUCUAUAUUAUUAAAAGUAUUUGGAAACUAAAUUUCAUAAUUUUUCGACAUUAUUUACCUAUAAAACGAGUAGACUAAAAAUAAACAGCUAAAAAUAAAAAUCUCAUAAAAAAUGAUGAUAAAAGACUUGAAUUUAAUAUCAAAGGUACUGAUUUACUCUAAAUAGUAAAAAAAAAAUUUUAUAAAAAUUUCAUCAGAUUUGAAUUGUUUUACACCGUUAAAUUCACAAACGUAUCACAUUUAUGAUUAAAAUUGUCAAUUUUGAAACCUUUUGAUCACUAGCCAAAUAAUAUUGAAAAAUUAUAUAUAAAAUUUCCUAUUAAAUUAUUUUUUAUGAUAGAGAUUCCGAAUCAAUGAUCGGAACCGUUGAAAUUGAUCUAGAGUAUUUAUAUUGAUCAAAAAUGUUGACAAAAUAAUUAAUGUAAAAAAAUAUUGCCUUUGUUUAUUUAUACUUUCUUAACUUCUAAUUAUUUUAUUUAUAUUAGUUCACUUAAAUAACUAUGAAAUUUACUAAAUCUAAUAAUAAUUCAGUCAAUAAUUUAAUUUCUUAAUUUUUAGUAAAUAUAAUUAUUAUAAUUGAUGACUAUUAGUUGACAGAUCUAUUAAAUUUAAUAUAAUCUUUUAUUUAAUUAAAUAAAAAUACUAUCUAAAAUAAUUAGAAGUUGCGAAGAUACUAAACAGAAAAAAUAAAUAAAAAUAAAUUCAGAGAGCACUAUGUUAGCGCCAAGAACUUUUUUAAAAGAUAGGAUUUUGAGAUUAUUAGCUAAAGUAUAUUCUUUAAAUUCUUUAUACGUAAGCACUACAACAAAACCGGUGUAUAGCGACAUUUUUAAAUGUCGGUACAGGUCAAAAAAAAGUGUUGCUGACUAAAUUGCCGACACUUUUUAAAAGUGUUGCUAUAUGUGGGGUCGCUAUAGGUAGGGCCGUCUUAAUAUUUGGCACUUACUCUUCUAGCGACCUGUGGCGAAGGGAUACGUGACGAUCGUAGCUCUCUACGGUCCCUGCGAAAUUCUCGCGGCCAAACUCCAGCCGCCGGAACCCUAUCUUGUCGGCGACGGUGGCGAAGGAGGAGAAGAGAAGACGGUGAUCAAUUUUUUUUUCCUUUUUUAUUUGUUAUUGGGCCGAAUGAGCUGGAUGUGGUUGGGUAGAGGAACUUUUUAUUUUUGAUUAGAUUUGACUUUAUAUUUAGGCCUUAUUAGAUUUUUUUUUAAAAAAACAAAUGGCAUAAAUAGAACACUUAUAUAAAAAUGUCCCAAAGAUGUGUCCUAUAACCCAAAGGGACUAUUAUGCAUAUUAUGAAUAGUCGGGGGGCCAUGGUCACCCUCAAUCUCCCCAUAGCUCCACCCCUGUCAUAAGGUAUAUAAAUGUAUAUCUUUUAAAUUAAAAAUUAUAUCUCUAAAUUAAAAGUAUGAGAUAGACGAAGGAAUGAUAUGAAUUUACGAUGCAAGAACAAGCAGAUGAACUAGACUAAGCGCAAGCAAUUAUUUUUUGUCCGAAUCUUUUUUAAUCCAAGAUUCAGACUAAAAAUGAAAUAUUUUUAAAAUCUUAGAAACUAAAUUGAAAUCAAACAAAGAGUUUAGGGUCAGAAAUGCUGAAGAGAUCAAAAGUUUAAGGGCAAAAACAAUAAAUUGCGUCAAAGUUGGGGGACUAGCUAGUAUCAGCAUACAAUUUACGCUGUUUUUAAAGAGAAAUGCUUGGGCAUCUCAUGUUUUGAUAUCUCAUUAUAUUACUGAUGUGUUGACAUACACAUAUGGAUGGAUUAAGAUUUAGAAUUUAGGAGUUAAUGAUUAUGUACAUUUAGAGCAGUGUAAUGAUGAUAUAAUCAUAUUGUAUAGAACUACUAAUGCUUUAGAAGCAUAAUGGAGUUGGUAUUUUCAACUUUUUGGUCUUUAGAUUAAUGAUUGUAGGAUCGAAAUGAUAAUGGUCACUCUUAAAAUUGAGUGGUCUCUCUAGGGUUGAGUAACUUUUCUAGAAUAAUAAUAAUAAUCGAAAGGUCAAAAAUGGUUAAAUGGAUUGAUUCAAGGACAAAAAAUUUAAAAAUAUCAACUAUCUUAUACUUUUGAAAGUAGAGUAGCUCUAUUCUUAUCAUAUCAUCAAAUGUAUGUAGGCUGUACCCGAGAGCAUGAAUUUAAAUGUCAUGGUACGGAAUCGUGCCGAAAACUUACCGGCAUGAUACGGUCGUACCGAUGCGUGCCGGUCACAAAAAAUACAUAUGUGCCAAUAUAUAAUGGCAUGAAAUAUUUAUUUUUUUAACAGCAACAAAAUAUUCUAAUGAUUUACUAUGUAUUGAUCUUUAUUAAUUUUUUUGAAUUUUAUUAAAAAAAUUAUUUACUAAUUUAAAAAAUAAAAAAUUUGUGGCUAUAUCACGAUCACAAAAAUUAUAUCAUAUCAAUAUUUAAUUGAUACGAUAUGACAUGACAGAUUCAAUCAGUUUCAAUGGACAUUUAAAUCCUUGCUCCAGCAGCUCCACCAGGGUGGUAGGAGAUAACACUGAGUUUUAAAUGGUUGUUUUAGCAUCGAUUCUAGAAAUGCGGUUUGGGGUUUGAAUGUAUAUUGGUUGUUGGGUGCGUGCAUUAACUUCUCCUCCUCUUUGGAACACCAAAAUGUGUACCAAGUUUAUACGUACGUUGUUUUGAAAGCCCCCAUGAAAACGUUUUAAUUUCCACGUACAUUUUCUUUUCAAAACACACGUAGAAGUGUCAGAGGGACAGCGCCCGCCAUUAACGGGUCCGUACCUGCGCUCCCACGCGGCAACUGUACCAUCCAUUCCCAAAUUUUGUACUACUAGUAGUAUUUUUUGCUUGUGAAUUAAUUUUAGUUGUACUCCGCAGAUUUGAAUUCGAAUAUAAAUUUUUUUGGGGCAAUUAUUUAUAUAUUUUUUAAAAAUUUUUGAUUUUUUAAUUUAUGUUUUUAAAAAAGUUAAUAUUAAAAAUAUCUUUUUUACGUUCCAACCUAUUUCUAAUAUACCCCUAGAGUUAAAAUCUGUUAAUUAACUCUGUUAACUCUGUAAAAUUACUAUUUUGUACUUUCAAAUAUACCCUUUCACCAUCACUGACUUUCUUAUUUGCCCUUAAAGUCAGGGGUACAAAAAAUAUUUUGAGUUUUGAUCUUUUUCAAUAUACCCCUCUACCGUCACCAACAUUUCUUAUUUGCCACUAAGUUAAUGGCAAAUUUGGUAUUUUAUUUUUUUUUAACUGUGGUAGAUGUUUAACUCACAUUUAACCCAAGUUAACUUAACAGGAGAUAACUGCGGGGAUAUUUUGCAAUAACGGUGGAACAUAUGAAGGGUAUUUUAGAAAGAAAAAAAAUAUGGGUAAAUUAGAUAUUUUCAAAAAUAUGCGGGGUAUAUAGGCAAUUAUCCCAAUUUUAUUUGUAUCUGGUUCGAAUCCGACUCAAAAUCAAAUUAAUUUUAUAUUAUUAUAUAUAUAUAGAGAGAGAGAGAGAGAGAGAGUAGGACUAUUAUAUUAUUAGGAGCGCAAACAAUUUGUGUACUUCUAAGUUUCUAACUAUUUAUUAAUUUUAAUGAAUGAUUAGAGUGAGAGAGAUAAUAGAAAUUGGGUUUCUCAAUUUCUUUUUAUUUUUGAAUUUUUUUUAGUUUCUCUUUUUUCUCUCGCCCUGACCAUUCAUCAACUUAGGAGCACAAAUAUUUAAUUGAGUUUUUAUGCUUUUAAAAGUAUCGAGUCAUUGAUACUUGUAACUUUUCGAUCUUUUAGAUUAAAAAAUAUGCAGUUGUGAUGGUAGUGAUUCUCUAAGAUAGAGUAGGCGGUUGGUUGAAUAGUAUAAUAUGAACUGAUGGACGAAAAUAGUUAAAAAUUUAAAAUGUAUAAUUUUGAAAUGUCAUUAUAUAUAUGUAAUAAAUUAGAUGCUAGUUUAAAUUUUUUUAAGUCCUUUAUAAUUGUGGGUAUUAGGUGACGUAGUACUCUCUCUUAACUCUUUCUUUUAAAGAAAACCACUCAUACCACUCCCCACCCCCUACCAUUCUACAAUUCAAAAAGUCAAUUACUCUAUCAAUCUCUCUCUCUCUCUCUCUCUCUCUAAGUUUUUUCCAAUCAUGUAGAACUAAAACUACAGGCAAAGGCAAUGAAAAAAGUAGAAGAGAAAAGAGCGAUUCCGCAACGCCUUCUCUUCCUUCACCUGGUGGUGAUCAUCUUUUCCAUAUGGGCCCUCUUCCACUCCGCACCUGUAGGGGCAAUCUCGUUAUUUCGCCCAAAAGAGAGGGCAAAUUCCGAAGCGGUGCAGCUCUUCACCGGUAUCCGUUCCGGCCGCACGGCGGCCGAAGGCAGAGCUGUUGCCGCCGCCAUCGUCGACGUCGACGUCGACGUCGACAGUAAGCGCCAGGUGCCCUGCAGCCCUGAUCCACUCCACAACUAACAGGUAAUAAUUAUAUAUUAAGACGAUAUAUUUUUGGUAAAAAUGUAUAGAGACCCUUUCCAACUCAUACACUUCUAUAUAUAAUAGGUUAUUUUGAAAUAAACCCCUCAGGAAAGUUUUUUUUGAUUGAUUGGUACCUUCUUAAUUAGGCUUGAUUUGGAUCUUUACCUUUUAAGCUUCUUAUGUCAGUUAAAGCGGUGAUAUUAUCGAAAACAAAAAUGAUUUUGUUAUAAUGUGACUGCUCAGAUAAAAAAAGUAUAUAGAAAUAUAUAUAUAUAUAUAUAUAUAUUUUUAAUAACACUAUGCUGAAAGGAAUAUGUUUUGCGAAACUAAACAGAAUCUAUAUUUUUCUAGCAGUCACAAAUGAAGCUUUGGAGUAGUUGGUUGUUCAUUACGAGCGAGAUUAUGUAUUGAAGAGGUCAGAGAUUCGAAAACUAAAAAAAAAAAAAAAAAAAUUAAAUAGGUUUGUUAAGUUCAGUUCUUCUAAAUACUUUUUUAGCUGAUGGAAUUGCGAAUCUGUAAUACAAAUUUAAAAUUAUAACUUAAAUCAAAAUCAAAAGUUGUGGGCUAUAUAACUUCCAAUCAAGAGGAUAAAUGUGGGGUGUAUUUUAAAAUGACCAUAGUUGAGGGGUCUCCAUACAUUUUCACCAAUAAACUUUUUGUUGUGUGUGCUUAUUUUUCUUGUGUACAGUGGAAAUUUAAGGGUGAGCUGGGUUUGAAUUGCAUUAUAUUAAUGGAAUAUCCUGCUUAAAUUUGUUUAUUUGUAAUUUUGUACCCUAAUUAAUGGAAUCUCCUUGUGUUAAGAAUCCGCAGAUGAGAAAUAUAUAAAACAAAAUUGAAUGGUAUGGAUUUUUUUUUUUUUUUUCUCAAGUUGCAUUUGAAUCUUCCACUCACUUCUUGGCUCAAUUUUCUUUUAUCUUGUUACACAAAAACCAUCUGAGAGCAAAAAUAAGGUGCUGCGAAAAUAAAGCGAUGUUUGGUGCAUGUGUUGAUAUAUAUUUAUGAGCAUGUUUUUUACUAAAUCUAUCUUUUGUGUAGCACAUUAUCAGAGCUAAUUCUAAACAUUUUCAUUCUGUGAGAUCAUGGAUUCAAUUCCCACGUUUGAUUAUAUAAUGAGUUAAAUCUUCAUCUCUUGCUUUAUUUAUCAAUUCCACAUGUCUUUUAUAUCUAUUAUACUCACAAGUGGGAGGUGUUAUACAGAUAUUACUAUAUUACAGAUUUAAAAGAUUAGUGCAUUUGAGUCAAAUUAUGACAACUAGAACUAUACGAGGAGGUGCAACUGCUGCAUUUAAAACUAUACAUCCAAAUGGCUACAUUCCUAUCUGCAGCUAUUUGCAAAGAAUUGAAUCUUCCAAAUGAAAAAAAAAAAAAAAAAAAAAAAAAAAAAAAACAUCUUCAAGCUAUGUACUAAGCCGAAGAAAUAUAGCUGCAACAUUUGCAAGGUGCGUUUGGUUCUACGUAUAAGUGGAAAAAAAAAAAUGUAUAUAUUAUAUAUAUAAUUUUAUGGGUUAUUUACAUACACGUCCCUACAAAUAUAAUGAAUUAUAGAAAUAUCUCUGCAAAACAGAAAUUCCAUAAGUUGUCCCUGCAAAAGUCCUAAUUUAUGCAGAUAUAUCCCUGUCGUUAAGGUCUGUUAGAAAAUUUCAUUAAUCACAGUUAAAAUACUUAACCAUGGUUAAUUAUAAUGUGAAUUGACGGAUUUACCCUUCUUCCUCUUCCUCCUCUUCCUCUUCCCUCUUCUUCGUCGCCGGCGAGGGAGGAGAUGCAGCGGCGGCGACGGCGAACCCUCUUCCUCUUCCUCUUCCCUCUUCUUCGUCACCGGCGAGGGAGAAGAUGCAGCGGCGGUGGCGAACCCUCUCCCUUUUCCUCUUCCUCUCCCUCUUCCUCUUCGCCCUUCUUCUUCCUCUCCCUCUUUCUUUUCCCUCUUCUUCGUCGCCGGCGAGGGAGGAGAUGCGGCGGCGGCGGCAACAAACCCUCUCCCUCUUCCUCUUCCUCUUCCUCUUCCUCUUCCCUUCCUCUCCCUCUUCCUCUUCCCUCUUCUUCUUCCUCUCCUUCUUUCUCUUCCCUUUUCUUCAUCGCCGGCGAACCCGACCCCGCGCCACCGCCGCCGCCCGCUCCGACGGCCCGAAGAGGGAAAGACAGAGAAGGAGAAGAGGAAUACUUUUGGAGGGAUAUAUUUGUGAGGGCAAAAAGGUUAUUUCACGAAUCCACUGUUAAAAAAUAAACAUGUCACUAACGGAUGUUAACCAGAGGGACAUAUCUGUAUAACUUAGGACUUUUGCAGGAACAACUUAUGAAAUUUUCGUUUUGCAGGAAUAUAUCUGCAAUUCACUAUAUAUGUAGGGACGUGUAUACAAAUAAACCUAAUUUUAUUUAUAAAUAUAUUUAUUUAUUUAUUAUAUAUAGUAAACGAUGUAAAACUUUUUUUCCACCGAAAAUUUUUUUCCACCGAAAUUUUUUUUUUCCACAGCUUUACGUGGAACCAAACACACCCUAAACAAAACCACACAAAUAGCAAAACGGGAGGAACUUUAUUAAUUUUCACAACUGUACAAACAAACAGCAAAAAAAAAAAAAAAAAAAAAAAAUUUACCUGAACUCUGAUCCAUUCAAAAGUCUACUUUAAUCUGAAUUACACCUU